This 496-nucleotide ribosomal RNA is filed under the name uncultured bacterium. RNAcentral's name for it is "partial 16S ribosomal RNA". It matches the Rfam family "Bacterial small subunit ribosomal RNA", at positions 28 to 507 of the family's 1533-position model. The record is from RNAcentral.
GAUGAACGCUGGCGGCGUGCCUAAUACAUGCAAGUCGAGCGAACAGACGAGGAGCUUGCUCCUCUGACGUUAGCGGCGGACGGGUGAGUAACACGUGGAUAACCUACCUAUAAGACUGGGAUAACUUCGGGAAACCGGAGCUAAUACCGGAUAAUAUAUUGAACCGCAUGGUUCAAUAGUGAAAGACGGUUUUGCUGUCACUUAUAGAUGGAUCCGCGCCGCAUUAGCUAGUUGGUAAGGUAACGGCUUACCAAGGCAACGAUGCGUAGCCGACCUGAGAGGGGGACCGGCCACACUGGAAUUGAGACACGGCCCAGACCCCAAGGGAAGGCAGCAGAAGGGAACCUUCGGCAAUGGGCGAAAGCCGGACGGAGCAACGCCGCGGGAGGGAGGAAGGUCUUCGGAUCGUAAAACCCUGUUAUAAGGGAAAAACAAAUGGGUAAGUACUAUGCACGUCUUGACGGUACCUAAUCAGAAAGCCACGGCUAACUACGUG